UGUCAGCAGGUGUCACAGUGACAGUACAGGAGAAAACUACCACAACAUCAACAACAAUAUCAACGACACCAGUAGCAGUAGCAUCGUCAACAACUGACACACUUACAGGAGGCGAGGUUCUACAUAGCACAGGCGUGUUGACUGGUGCAGUUGUGGCAGCCGUGGUGAUAACAUUUGGAGUCGCGGUUGCUUUAUUUGUCCUGUAUCAUAGGAGCAUGGUGCAUAGAUUUCGGAAUGAUAGACAAUUUGGCGACACUGUUGAAGUGGAUGUUAUGGAAAGCAACAAUGAAUACGUCGUGCUAGAAGAAAACCAUAUAUAACCGGAUCACACUUACGCAGCACUUCAAGGAAGGAUGACGUCAUUCAAUACUCCACCAAGAAAAAUAACUAGGAGAAGUGCGCAGGAGGGUAAACGAAUGCGACAUCCACAUCAUCACUACUGGACCAAAGUACGUCAAUUCCUCGGCCGGACAACGAACGCACAGAAUUAGAAAGAAAACUAAUGUGUCAGAUUUCAAAACGCUGCUGUUAACACCUGAUAUAAAAACGGGUCCCAAUCUGUCCAAACCACCAAGCUAACAAUUCAACGAAAAGAUAGACAACUAUCAAACGCCAGUAUUUUGACAGUGAUUUUCUCGAAAACUGGAACUUUUUAUAUAAGC
Long non-coding RNA from Lingula anatina, 662 nucleotides. Lineage: Eukaryota; Metazoa; Brachiopoda; Lingulata; Lingulida; Lingulidae. The record is from RefSeq and is a predicted model, not a curated record.